CCUACGGGAGGCAGCAGUGAGGAAUAUUGGUCAAUGGGCGCUAGCCUGAACCAGCCAAGUAGCGUGAAGGAUGACUGCCCUAUGGGUUGUAAACUUCUUUUAUAUGGGAAUAAAGUGCAGUAUGUAUACUGCUUUGCAUGUACCUUAUGAAUAAGGAUCGGCCAACUCCGUGCCAGCAGCCGCGGUAAUACGGAGGAUCCGAGCGUUCUCCGGAUUUAUUGGGUUUAAAGGGAGCGUAGGCGGGUUGUUAAGUCAGUUGUGAAAGUUUGCGGCUCAACCGUAAAAUUGCAGUUGAUACUGGCAGCCUUGAGUACAGUAGAGGUAGGUGGAAUUCGUGGUGUAGCGGUGAAAUGCUUAGAGAUCACGAAGAACUCCGAUUGCGAAGGCAGCCUGCUGGACUGUAACUGACGCUGAUGCUCGAAAGUGUGGGUAUCAAACAGGAUUAGAUACCCGAGUAGUC
RNAcentral lists this ribosomal RNA (460 nucleotides) under uncultured bacterium. RNAcentral describes it as "partial 16S ribosomal RNA". It matches the Rfam family "Bacterial small subunit ribosomal RNA", at positions 338 to 795 of the family's 1533-position model. The record is from RNAcentral.